Molecule: long non-coding RNA, 1117 nt
Organism: Oncorhynchus nerka (sockeye salmon)
Lineage: Eukaryota; Metazoa; Chordata; Actinopteri; Salmoniformes; Salmonidae
Exons: 2
Source: RefSeq, a predicted model, not a curated record
CUGUUACUAGAGGUGUGUUGGGGUCCUGAGGCCUAGAAGCCUUCCUGUAUAGUAGCCCCUCCCCCCUCCUGUUACUAGAGGUGUGUUGGGGUCCUGAGGCCUAGAAGCCUUCCUGUAUAGUGGCCCCUCCCCCCUCCUGUUACUAGAGGUGUGUUGGGGUCCUGAGGCCUAGAAGCCUUCCUGUAUAGUAGCCCCUCCCCCUCCUGUUACUAGAGGUGUGUUGGGGUCCUGAGGCCUAGAAGCCUUCCUGUAUAGUAGCCCCUCCCCCCUCCUGUUACUAGAGGUGUGUUGGGGUCCUGAGGCCUAGAAGCCUUCCUGUAUAGUAGCCCCUCCCCCCUCCUGUUACUAGAGGUGUGUUGGGGUCCUGAGGCCUAGAAGCCUUCCUGUAUAGUAGCCCCCCCCUCCUGGUUACUAGAGGUGUGUUGGGGUCCUGAGGCCUAGAAGCCUUCCUGUAUAGUAGCCCCUCCCCCUCCUGUUACUAGAGGUGUGUUGGGGUCCUGAGGCCUAGAAGCCUUCCUGUAUAGUAGCCCCUCACCUCUCAAGCGACUGUGGCUCUUGUCUCCCUCCUCUCGAUGUGUGUGUGUUGGACAGAACUGCCACUAAGUGUGUGUGUUGGACAGAACUGCCACUAAGUGUGUGUGUGACUUGUCUUUGCCUUUUGAGGAAGCUGCUAUCUCUGGCACAGCGGGAAGUUCUGGGGUGUGUGUCUGCCAGCACGUGUGUGUGGCUGUGUGUGUGGCUGUGUGUGUGUGUGUGGCUGCGUGUGUGUGUGUGUGGCUGUGUGUGUGGCUGCGUGUGUGUGUGUGUGUUCGUUGAGCACAAUCCUGACUGGAUUCAUGUGUAUUUGUGUUUUGUUUUAUAAAGCCUCCACCCCAAUAGCUCUUCCUGUCUCCUCUCUCUAACCUUUAACCCCAAGUCCUCUUAUCUACAGUGUAUAUACAUUAUGACAACUAGGUUCUGCUGUUGUAUGAUGCAGACAUACAUGUGGUACAUAUUGUAAAAAAAAAAAAAAAAAAAAAUUGUAAAAAAAAAAAAAAGAAGUGCAAAACCAUUUUGAAUUGUUUAAAAUGUAAAAUAAUGAUUCUGGCAUUAAACAAACCAAGCUUUUAACUAUGAA